CAGCUCGUGCCGUGGAGAGUGUUGGGCGUAAGUCCCGCAACGAGCGCAACCCUCGACCUUAGUUGCCAGCAUUCAGUUGGCACUCUAAGGUGACUGCCGGCUAAAAGUCGGAGGAAGGUGGGGAUGACGUCAAAUCAUCAUGCCCCUUAUGACCUGGGCUACACACGUGCUACAAUGGGCGGUACAAAGGGUCGCGAACCCGCGAGGGGGAGCCAAUCCCAAAAAGCCGCUCUCAGUUCGGAUUGCAGGCUGCAACUCACCUGCAUGAAGCCGGAAUCGCUAGUAAUCGCGGAUCAGCAUGCCGCGGUGAAUACGUUCCCGGGCCUU
This 327-nucleotide ribosomal RNA is filed under the name uncultured Anoxybacillus sp. RNAcentral's name for it is "bacterial SSU rRNA". It matches the Rfam family "Bacterial small subunit ribosomal RNA", at positions 1056 to 1382 of the family's 1533-position model. Lineage: Bacteria; Bacillati; Bacillota; Bacilli; Caryophanales; Anoxybacillaceae. The record is from RNAcentral.